This 314-nucleotide small nuclear RNA is filed under the name Choloepus hoffmanni (Hoffmann's two-fingered sloth). Its description in RNAcentral is "7SK RNA (ENSCHOG00000015567.1)". It matches the Rfam family "7SK RNA". From Rfam's summary of the family: 7SK was discovered as an abundant small nuclear RNA in the mid-70s but a possible function has only recently been suggested. Two independent studies have found that 7SK RNA binds the CDK9/cyclin T complex (known as elongation factor P-TEFb). The record is from RNAcentral. Lineage: Eukaryota; Metazoa; Chordata; Mammalia; Pilosa; Megalonychidae.
AGAUGUGAGGGCAAUCUGGCUGGUAACAUCUGUCUUCCCAUUGAUCACCAGAGUGGAUUCAGCUGAUCUGGCUGGCUAGGGGGGAGUCCCCUUCUUUCCUCACUCCGUGGUCCAUGUGCAGCCCUCCUGAAACUAUGUGUUCAAAGAGAAUGGCCUUUCUUCCUAGAGAAGGACCGUUAUUUGGUCAAAGUUAUAUGAGUAGCUGCGCUCCCCUGCUAGAACCUCCAAACAAGCUCUCAAGGUCUACCGACACUUUUUACCUACCUCGUUAAAGCACCUGUCACAGUGUUAAUCAUGUGUACUUACCUUGCCCA